RNAcentral lists this non-coding RNA (29 nucleotides) under Rattus norvegicus (Norway rat). The record is from RNAcentral. Lineage: Eukaryota; Metazoa; Chordata; Mammalia; Rodentia; Muridae.
UGGGAUUACAUUUACCAUUGUGUCUGCCU